This 257-nucleotide unclassified non-coding RNA is filed under the name Glomus sp. RNAcentral describes it as "partial contains 5.8S ribosomal RNA and internal transcribed spacer 2". The stretch from base 1 to 65 matches the Rfam family "5.8S ribosomal RNA", at positions 84 to 154 of the family's 154-position model. Lineage: Eukaryota; Fungi; Glomeromycota; Glomeromycetes; Glomerales; Glomeraceae. The record is from RNAcentral.
GUGAAUCAUCGAAUUUUUGAACGCAAAUUGCACUCUCCACGGAGAGUAUGUCUGUUUGAGGGUCAGCCUAGAAAAAAUCGACAUCGUUGCUGUUUCGCGGUGGCGUUCGUCGGAAAUUGGGGCAGCUUAAAUCAUUUGGGUUUAAGCGACUUAAAAUUUUCUUUUUGGUUCCAUGAACGUAUCUAAGAUUUAUUGCUUUACACGUUUAAGGUAUCGAUUGUUAUUAGACGUGACCAUCAUAUCGGAUCUCGCCCACA